GGGCCCGCACAAGCGGUGGAGUAUGUGGUUUAAUUCGAUGCAACGCGAAGAACCUUACCAGGGUUUGACAUCCUGCGAAUCUCUUGGAAACGAGAGAGUGCCUUCGGGAACGCAGUGACAGGUGGUGCAUGGCUGUCGUCAGCUCGUGUCGUGAGAUGUUGGGUUAAGUCCCGCAACGAGCGCAACCCACGUCUUUAGUUGCCAGCACAUUAUGGUGGGAACUCUAAGGAGACUGCCGGUGACAAACCGGAGGAAGGUGUGGAUGACGUCAAGUCAUCAUGCCCCUUACAUCCUGGGCUACACACGUACUACAAUGCUACGGACAAAGGGCAGCAAGUUCGCGAGGACAAGCAAAUCCCAUAAACCGUGGCUCAGUUCAGAUCGUAGGCUGCAACUCGCCUACGUG
This 406-nucleotide ribosomal RNA is filed under the name uncultured bacterium. RNAcentral describes it as "bacterial SSU rRNA". It matches the Rfam family "Bacterial small subunit ribosomal RNA", at positions 917 to 1322 of the family's 1533-position model. The record is from RNAcentral.